RNAcentral lists this ribosomal RNA (254 nucleotides) under uncultured bacterium. Its description in RNAcentral is "partial 16S ribosomal RNA". It matches the Rfam family "Bacterial small subunit ribosomal RNA", at positions 524 to 776 of the family's 1533-position model. The record is from RNAcentral.
UACGGGGGGAGCAAGCGUUGUUCGGAUUUACUGGGCGUAAAGGGCGCGUAGGCGGCCAGCACAAUUCAGUUGUGAAAUCUCCGGGCUUAACUCGGAAAGGUCAACUGAUACUGUGCGGCUAGAGUGCAGAAGGGGCAACUGGAAUUCUCGGUGUAGCGGUGAAAUGCGUAGAUAUCGAGAGGAACACCUGCGGCGAAGGCGGGUUGCUGGGCUGACACUGACGCUGAUGCGCGACAGCGUGGGGAGCAAACAGG